RNAcentral lists this unclassified non-coding RNA (542 nucleotides) under Pseudomonas aeruginosa. RNAcentral's name for it is "partial contains 16S ribosomal RNA, 16S-23S ribosomal RNA intergenic spacer, and 23S ribosomal RNA". The stretch from base 124 to 197 matches the Rfam family "tRNA". Lineage: Bacteria; Pseudomonadati; Pseudomonadota; Gammaproteobacteria; Pseudomonadales; Pseudomonadaceae. The record is from RNAcentral.
UUUUAUAUAGUUGGUAACCAGGUAGCCGUAGGGGAACCUGCGGCUGGAUCACCUCCUUAAUCGAAGAUCUCGGCUUCUUCAUAAGCUCCCACACGAAUUGCUUGAUUCACUGGUUAGACGAUUGGGUCUGUAGCUCAGUUGGUUAGAGCGCACCCCUGAUAAGGGUGAGGUCGGCAGUUCGAAUCUGCCCAGACCCACCAAUUGUUGGUGUGCUGCGUGAUCCGAUACGGGGCCAUAGCUCAGCUGGGAGAGCGCCUGCUUUGCACGCAGGAGGUCAGGAGUUCGAUCCUCCUUGGCUCCACCAUCCAAACAAUCGUCGAAAGCUCAGAAAUGAAUGUUCGUAAAUGAACAUUGAUUUCUGGUCUUUGCACCAGAACUGUUCUUUAAAAAUUCGGGUAUGUGAUAGAAGUAAGACUGAAUGAUCUCUUUCACUGGUGAUCAUUCAAGUCAAGGUAAAAUUUGCGAGUUCAAGCGCGAAUUUUCGGCGAAUGUCGUCUUCACAGUAUAACCAGAUUGCUUGGGGUUGUAUUAUUGGUCGAAAA